This is a long non-coding RNA of Phyllostomus discolor (pale spear-nosed bat), 94 nucleotides long. RefSeq lists it as uncharacterized. The record is from RefSeq and is a predicted model, not a curated record. The transcript has 3 exons. NCBI's taxonomy places the organism in Eukaryota, Metazoa, Chordata, Mammalia, Chiroptera, Phyllostomidae.
GUAGACUUUCAGGAGGUAAAGGAAGCUCACAGAGUGUCAAUGAAGUUGGACCCAAGAAGGAACACACCAAGACACAUUCAAUUUCAUUAUGCAA